AUGGUGGAGAUCAGCGAGGAGAAGCUGGUGAGGUUCGCAGGCAGAGAUGCGUGCCUGCUUGCUCGGCUGCGAGAGAUCGGAUCGUUGUACACAAGCAAGCGGGAGAUGUAUGCGGAGGCGGAGGCGAUUUUUGAGGGGCUGACGGCAACGGAGGAGGAGUCCCUCUUCAGGCGCGGGAGGCGCAAGCAUCCACUCCAGGUGCUGAUGUGGGCGAUGGAUCAGGCGGAUUCGCCGGUGAGGGCGGUGGCGCGGAAGUGGGUGGCCUUCACCGCCUUCAAGACGGCACGCCUCGCCCCGGCCAUGCGGGCAACGGCGCUCAGAUCUCGCGAGGGGGUGCUGGCGCUCCCUGCUCCAGGCUCGGUCAUGGCGCCGAUUGUGAUCCAGGAAGACCCCGUGGAGCAGCCGCCGCAGGAGGUGGUGCAGACGUCGCGCCGCUCCGCUCGUCUGGCUCCAGCUUCAUCUACUCCGACUCCUCGCCAUUCGGCAUGCCUCGCCGGAAUUAAUGCCGGAAUCGAUGCCUGA
RNAcentral lists this ribosomal RNA (522 nucleotides) under Triticum aestivum (bread wheat). Its description in RNAcentral is "partial small subunit ribosomal RNA". The record is from RNAcentral. Lineage: Eukaryota; Viridiplantae; Streptophyta; Magnoliopsida; Poales; Poaceae.